CAGCCUUUGUGAGAUGAUGAUGCAGCCUUCAGCAAGGCUUCAUCUUCAGCUCGCUGCACUGGCCUUGGCGUGCCAUCUCUCUCACACACACACACACACGCGCGCACACACACUCCCAGAGAGUCCUUGUCUGGAGACCUUGAGUCCUAAAAAGCACGGGGGCUCUGCUUGUGGGAGAGAGAAUGAAAAAAGAAUCCCGGAACAGAUAAAAAACCGCUUCUCCUGCAGGAGGAACGAGGCGUCCUGAAUGUUUCUGCUCUAAUCCUCGCUGUGAUGUCUGCGGCGGCGCCAGAUAGACACGAGAUAGCAGCGGCAACACUGUGGAUUUGAUAUCAGUGUCCACCCGUGUGAGAACGCUCCCGGGGAAUGCUGGGUAAAUGUGAUCAACAGCUACUUUGUCUAUCUGGAGCACCUUCAAGGUCCCAGCGGAGGCUUUAAAUGGCCGAGAGGAGGUGGCGUCCCAGGAGAGGCUCGGCCGGAGCAGCACGGGGUUCACGCAGCAGUUCCAGGUCGCCGCCACGCUCGCACUCGCUGUUCCUUUUUCCUAUGCAUAUACCUUUUUCAGAUGUAACUUUAAAGAGGCAUAGGGCAUGGGAAAAUGGGGCUGCAGAGGUAUUCCACCGCUUCACCGGCGUCCUCGCGAGACCAGCGCACACACACACACACACACACACGUCCUGCAGCUGGGCUUGAUUUGUGUUGGUGAAUGUUGCAAUUGAGAAAUAACUUUGGUUUGUGGUGGCGGAUGCUGACAGAAGUGGACGUUUCCCAUGUGUAGACAAUUCUUUGAUUUUGGGCUGUUUCUCUUUUUAAUCCUUUGAUGCUUUGACUUUUGUUCUUGCUGGAAAAAUAAAUAAACACGCAUUUAAACUCAAACUGUUUCAGCAUUUCCUGAUGUGUGUGUGUGGUUACACUUUAUUUUGACACAGUAACAGCAAAAUGAAGGGACAAUUACACAAAUGCACGUGAAUAAUGAGGAGAUAAACGGUGCCAGGACCUAAUUAAUCCUUUAUUUGCUGUGUUUCUUGACACAAAGCUCCUUAGUGAUGAUUUUUUUAAAGCCUAAACCGUCUCAAACACUCAUGAAAUAUGAAAUCUGACACGUUAUGAAGCUCCAGUUAUGAGGGAUGUGAGCAGAAUCACCAGGAUGACGCGUCGCCGGGACCAUCUGAGCUUUCUUUACAGCUCUGGUUGGCAUCAGCCCGUGACCUCUGACCUCUGCUCAUGGAGGAGCCCUCUGUGGCUCGUGUUCUGGCCUCGGCGCCUGUGGAUGUGCUUAAAUGGAUCUCCGGUUCAGUCAACCUUUAAAUGAACGUGUUCUUCUCAUUAUAGCAGCUGCUCUCAAGAGCUCGUCGGGUAAUUGCGUCCCCUGGCGGGAGGUGUCGGUAUUUAAUCGAGGUGGGGAGGAGGAAGCAGCCCCCACAGCUCAGGACACAGAAGAAAUCACCUGAUGUUAUUGCUCCCAGAAUUCCACAGGUGGAAAGGUUCGAACUGUGUUUUGAAGCUAUUUAAGGCGUUUUUGGACACAACUGCGGGACGAAAUGCAAUAAUAAUAAUAAUAAUAAAGUCAAUAAAUGAAUGAAUCAUCUCAUGUUUACUCCGACACGCGGCUGUAAUAUCGCACAUUUAAUGUAAACGUCUACAGUUUCUCACCCGGUGGAUUAAAAAAAAGGGAAGUUGAAAGCAGCAAAUUUGGCAAAAGCGCCGUGAAAAUGUCGGCGGAUUCAGAAAUCAGUUUCAGUUUCGGGGCACAUGAAACUGAACCAGCACCCCCCCCCCCCCCCCCCCCUCCUGCUGACUGUGGAGGCGUACUGACAUCAACGUGCGGGAAUAAACACCCCCGCAGACUUGCGGGCGCCGAAGCUCCGCGUCUCUCGGACAAGUGCGAAGAGUUGGACCCUGGAGCUGAACGGACCCCAUCAUCUCGCAGCUGCCUCCGCUUUGUUGCCCCCCUGAAAACAUGAGACCGAGCGAUGCGGCUGCAGAUGCAUGAGAGGGAUUUUUGGCGUCUGCUGCAACGUUUAACCGCUUCUAAAAUCCAAAGUCCAACUGAUGGCACCAGGGAUGUGAUGGAUUUAAACCUCCUCGCUUCGGUGCCGCUCGGUUCAAACAUCUGCUUGAGUUCUCAUUGAGGUGAUGAAGGUCUCAUCUUCCUCGGUGAGACGUUGCAGCUCUGCUCUGUCAACUGUGACGCUCGCAAAAUAAAAGAAUACAGUUUCUUCUUUGCAAAACGGCUCCAUCUCUCGAGUGAAUCGGCUUUAUUGGAUAAUCUAACAAGAUUAAAAGCAAGCAAGCUAAUUGAUUGGUGCUUUGAAUGCGAGUCUCCCCAGAGAGACAACAAUAGGAUAAAAAGCAUGAAACAUCCAGAUUCUGGCCGAGGUCGGUAGAAG
RNAcentral lists this long non-coding RNA (2390 nucleotides) under Takifugu rubripes (torafugu). RNAcentral describes it as "lncRNA (ENSTRUG00000032471.1)". The stretch from base 532 to 607 matches the Rfam family "mir-202 microRNA precursor family". Lineage: Eukaryota; Metazoa; Chordata; Actinopteri; Tetraodontiformes; Tetraodontidae. The record is from RNAcentral.